This 2308-nucleotide long non-coding RNA is filed under the name Marmota monax (woodchuck). Lineage: Eukaryota; Metazoa; Chordata; Mammalia; Rodentia; Sciuridae. The record is from RNAcentral.
GUGGAAUUGGUCCCAGUACACACACACACACACACACACACACACACACACACCGUCCCUCCUCUGCAAGAGCAGAUAUCAAAAUCCACACAUUCUCACGUCCCUUGUCUCGCCCUUUGCCCAGGUGUGCCAGGGCAGUGGAGUAGGUUGUAGACAUGCCAAAGAAAGUGCCUGGAGACACCAUGGGAGAUGGGAUCACUCCGGACGCAAAGCUGUCAUUGUGAAGAUAUUGAUGAUGGCACAUCAGAUCGUCCCUACAGCCAUGCUCUGGUGGCUGGAAUCGAACUGCUGUCUCCACAAAGUGACAGCUACCAUGGGCAAGAAGAAAAAUCACCAAAAGGUCAAAGAUCAAGUCUUUUGUGAAAUUUUAUAAUUACAAUCGCCUCAUGCCCACAAGGUACUCUUCGGGUAUCCCCUUGGACAAAACUGUCGUCAACAAGGAUGUCUUCAGAGACCUGCUCUUAAACGUAGGCCCGUCGGGAGGCCAAGAUUAAGUUUGAAGAGAGGUACAAGAGGCCAGAGACGGCGCCACAGAGAGUUCCGUGGUGACAGGCUGAGCAUACCUCUGACCCUUGUGCUGCUUUGGCAAACAGAGCCCCUCCCCCCCGCCGCUUCACAGCACUCUGCCCAGGGCAGCUAGCUGGACAAGUGACACAGUGCCCUCAGUUCUGCAACCGUCCCCACUCGGGGGUUUUACCUGUUAGGCUUCAGAAGCAGCAACAUUGUUGGCAUCAGUUUGCUGAGCUUGCUUGUAUGACCAGCAUCCCAAGGAGCACCUGUUAUGCACAUGAAAGAAAGCAGCUUUUGCCCGGCAUGGUGGCAUGCACCUGUAAUUUCACCAGCUCAGGAGGCUGAGGCAGGAGAAUUACAGGUUCAAAGCCAGCCUCAGCAACAUAGUGAGGCCUUAAGCAACUUAGUGAAACCUUGUCUCAAAAAAUAAAAAGGGCUGGGGAUGUGGCCCACUGGUUAAGCACCCCUAGGUUCAAUCCCUGGUACCCCCCCCCCAAAAAAAAAAAAGAAAAAAAGUAGUUUCCACAGGUAACACAGACUUGCCCUAGUUCCCAGUGUGCAUAAGAGAAAUCUAGUAUCCUCCUAGAUAGUGUAUCUGGACGUUCCUACCCAGAUUUGCUCUCAUUCACUUGGCUAGGAUUUGGGGAACAGAAAGGGGGCAAUCACAUAAACAUAUUGGAGAAAAGACAGUCUCUUCAACAAAUGGUGCUGGGAAAAGUGGAUAUGCACAUGUAGCAAAAUGAGAUUAAACCUCAUUCUCUCACCCUCCACAAAAUCAAAGUAAAUCAAGGACAUAGGAAUUAAGACAAAUGAUGCUGCACCUGCUAGAAGAAACUGUAGGUCCAACUCUCCAUCCUGUCAGCAAGACUCCUAAGGUGCAAGAAGUAAAAUCAAGAAUCAGAGAGCCUGCAGAAUGGGAGAAAAUCUUUGCCACCUGCACCUCAGAUAGAGCAUUAAUCUCCUGUAUAUAUAAAGAACUCAAAAAACUUACCACAAACCAUAUAACCCAGUCAAAAAAUGGGCAAAGGACCUGAACAUGCACUUCACAGAAGAAGAAAUAUGAAUGACCUACAAAUAUAUGAAAAAAUUCAACAUCUUUAGCAAUUAGAGAAAUGCAAAAUAAAACUACACUGAGGCUGGGGAUGUGGCUCAAGCGGUAGCGCGCUCGCUUGGCAUGCGUGCAGCCCGGGUUCGAUCCUCAGCACCACAUACAAACAAAGAUAUUGUGUCCGCCGAAAACUAAAAAUAAAUAUUAAAAAAAAAAAAACUACACUGAGAUUCCCUCUCACUCCAGUCACAUGGCAGUUAUCAAGACUACAGGUAACAAUAAGUUGGCAAGGAUGUGGGGGGAAAGGUACACUCAUAACACUGCUGUUGGGACUGCAGAUUUGUGCAAGCACUCUGGAAAACAAUAUGGAGAGCCCUCAGAAAACUUGGAAUGGAACCACCAUUUGACUCAGUUAUAUACUCCUCAGUAUAUACCCAAAGGACUUAAAAUCAGCAUAUUUCAGUGACACAGCCACAUUAAUGUUUAUAGCAGCUCAGUUCACAAUAACCAAGCUAUGGGACCAACCUAGGUGCCCUUCAACAGAUGAAUGGAGAAAGAAAUGUGAGAUAGACACACACACACACACACACACCUACAAUGAAAUAUUACUCAGCCAUAAAGAAGAAUAAAAUUAUGGUGUUUGCUGGUAAAUGGAUGGAACCGGAGACUAUCGAGCUAUGUGAAAUAAGCAAUUCCCAAAAAACCAAAGGCUGGUUGUUCCCUCUGAUAUGAAGAUAUGCAGAUGCUAAC